GGGUGACGUCAGCGACCAAGCAGAGUGUUCUGUUUUUAUUGAGGCACGAAAGUGAACAAGGACUCGGGAGUUAAAGGCGAGUGAAGCAGUGCAACCUGGUAAAAGCAGUACAGAGGCAGGUGGAGCAACAGGGUCGCAGUUUUCCAGAUGGAUGGAGGACGUGUCAUCUCAGAACCCACACUCCACAAUAAUACGAUCAAGAAAACUCAUGCAGUGACCUAACAGCUCCACCAGAUGGAGGUGUUGAGUAUCAACAUUCAAGUGAUGGGCCAUUCUGAAGACCAGAUUUCCCUGGAAUUUGAGAUGAUAGUUAUUGAGGAAUGGUCACCCCAUAAACACCUUGUAGUCAUCUUGAAUCUGUCAUCCAAUCUGUCCAUGGUUAUUGAUUUUCUCCCCUAGUAGUUCUGGUGCCCAUUUGUUCAUAUUUUGCUCAGCGAGAAUGGUAUUGAUUCAACAUGACAAGGGGUUUACAUUGUUGUAGAGGAAUGUGUAGCCAUUCCUGAAUUAAUACUGGGUGAAUUUGAGGAUAUAUUUUAGGUCUUCCCCUUUUUAGCUUUUUUUUUGUUAGUUACAUUUAGUGGUGUUUGUUGUUAUCUGUUUAAAAUGAAUACAAAAAUUGAUCAAAAAGAAAAAGAAAAAAGUGAAUCAUGAUUUUGAAUUGUGAAUUCCUAAUGGUACAAUUACUGUAUGUAUUAUCCAUGUUUAUUAUUAUUAUUAUUAUUAUUAUUAUUAUUAUUAUUAUUAUUAUUAUUAUUAUUUAUUUUUUUAGCAGACACUCUUAUCUAGGGCGACUUACAGUCGUAAACAAAAAUAUAUUUCAAUAAUCACAGCCCUUAAACAGCAGUCUGGCUGUUGUUACCAGUUUUUUUUUUUUACAGAGAGACCCCUCUUACAUUUCUCAGGUCACUGAGUUGCUUCUGUUUCAGCUGUUUCUGUCAGAGCAAGCUGCAUGUUGCAUUGUAACAGCUCACAGAAGCAAAGUGAAUCACCAGGCAGUACUGAAACAUGGGCCUACGCCUCUGGAGUUUCAGUUUCAAUUUUAAGGUGUGGUUUCAUUACUUUAAUUAACACAUGAAUAUUGUCUGCUUCAUAUCAAAGUGGACGAUCAUAAUUAAACUGAACAUUGAAAUUGCAUUUCACAUAAUAGAUAUAUACAGCUGGAACUUACCGUAUAACCAGAGAUCUCAAAAUAAAUGAGGAACUUUUUUUUUUGUGGUCACUGGUAAGACUUGAUUCCUUCUGUGUUGAAAGACAUCAGGUUAGGAAACAUAUCUUGGUGGUAAUCUCAGUCAGACUUUAUGUUGCAAAAAAAGAACUCACUGAACCUGCAGUGCAUUUUGUGAUAAUUUGCUAAGACACGUUUGUGUUCCUGCAGGCCUAGAAAACACAAGAUUCAAGUAUUGCUAGAAAUUGUGUUUGGGUGUGUUUUGUAGGUGAUUGUCGUAGAAAAAAAAAGGGUUCAGUCCAAAAGAACAAGUUAGAGACGGAAUUAAUACUGUGCCUUUAAGAAAACUUAACAUCACUUUACCACAUGCAAGAAGCCUGUAGAGAUUUCACAAUGUGAUACGACAUUAACUCAUUUCUCUGUGAAAAAAGUGCAAUCUGAUUUUAUUGAAGGAGAUGUAUUAUGUUUCAAUUUGUAGUCCGCUGUAUCUAAUCAACUCUUAUUUGAUAAAUAUCUCUGUUUUGUGUGGAGCUGGCUCCAUGUUAUGCUUGUGCAUUGUGCAUUCUAAUUUAAGGCCAAAGAGAGAUACAACUAUAUAAAACCAGCAAGUGAUUUCCUGAAUGCAUUCCCAAUGUGUUUCCAGCGAUGGUAAAACUAUUUCUUAGAGAUACCAAUAGAGGGGAGCACAUGCAUUCAGAUAUCUGUUAACCCAUGUAUUCAUCUAAACUUGCAACAGUGGGGGAUGUAUAGCUGACUAUAGAUUGCAUUAGUGAAUGAACAGCCUGGUUGGAUUAAUGUUCCCUUGCACACCAGGGGAUAAAGCUCUUCUGCUGGUACUGUACCUCUUUCUAUUUUCCCCUGUCAUGUGAUUCUGUGGUGACCUCUGGUAAGAAGUUUAUACAUAUUCAACACUGGCAGACUGAGGUCAUAAGCACAGAUGUUUCUCAGACAGAAAUAAUAUUUUACACCAGCACUAUAAGAAGUACUUAAAUAAAUAACUUGUUUUAUUUACUCCUUUGAAUCAUACUUUCCA
Molecule: long non-coding RNA, 2198 nt
Organism: Acipenser ruthenus (sterlet)
Lineage: Eukaryota; Metazoa; Chordata; Actinopteri; Acipenseriformes; Acipenseridae
Exons: 3
Source: RefSeq, a predicted model, not a curated record